UUCACUAUUGUCCCCUUCUUCAAAGCCUCCAUCAUCGUCACUAACAUGGAUUGGGGUCUGGUUACCUUCGUCCUCUUCCUCCAUCGUAGUGUCUUCGCCAUCUUUACCCUCUUGCUGGGGAUUGAAUGUGCCUUCGAUGUUGCGUGAACCGUCUCCAGGAUUGUCUCCAACUUGAACUUCUUCAUCCACCACCAUGGUAUCUUGGUUCACUCUAGUGUCG
This 220-nucleotide long non-coding RNA is filed under the name Lathyrus oleraceus (garden pea). RNAcentral describes it as "Pisum sativum (pea) long non-coding RNA (PSAT_LNC014528)". The record is from RNAcentral. Lineage: Eukaryota; Viridiplantae; Streptophyta; Magnoliopsida; Fabales; Fabaceae.